Molecule: long non-coding RNA, 213 nt
Organism: Haplochromis burtoni (Burton's mouthbrooder)
Lineage: Eukaryota; Metazoa; Chordata; Actinopteri; Cichliformes; Cichlidae
Exons: 3
Source: RefSeq, a predicted model, not a curated record
AUUUGUGUAGACAUGAAGCCUCCACAUAUGAACCUCUGGGAGGCUAAGUUAGCUGGAAGGCUUCAAAGCCUGAUGAAACUUUAUCUCACCAUCACAGUCACAAACAGCAGGACAGAGGAACACAGACAAUAAAGACAGUGACUCCAGCCUUUCAAAGUAAGAGUCCAUCGGGACUGUCCAGGCCUCUAAAACCAUCCCAGGUAACAAGUUGGU